This 84-nucleotide microRNA precursor is filed under the name Caenorhabditis japonica. RNAcentral's name for it is "mir-44 microRNA precursor family". It matches the Rfam family "mir-44 microRNA precursor family". The record is from Rfam by way of RNAcentral. Lineage: Eukaryota; Metazoa; Nematoda; Chromadorea; Rhabditida; Rhabditidae.
GCUGGGCCGAUCUGGGUGUGCUCGUUAGUCAUAUAUCCGCACGGCUAUGAGUAUGACUAGAGACACAUUCAGCUUGGCUUCGAU